UACGGAGGAUCCAAGCGUUAUCCGGAAUCAUUGGGUUUAAAGGGUCCGUAGGCGGGUAGCUAAGUCAGUGGUGAAAUCCUGCAGCUCAACUGCAGGACUGCCAUUGAUACUGGUUGCCUUGAAUUAAUGUGAAGUGGUUAGAAUAUGCAGUGUAGCGGUGAAAUGCUUAGAUAUUUCAUAGAAUACCAAUUGCGAAGGCAGGCCACUAACAUUACAUUGACGCUGAUGGACGAAAGCGUAGGUAGCGUACAGG
This 253-nucleotide ribosomal RNA is filed under the name uncultured bacterium. RNAcentral's name for it is "partial 16S ribosomal RNA". It matches the Rfam family "Bacterial small subunit ribosomal RNA", at positions 524 to 776 of the family's 1533-position model. The record is from RNAcentral.